GAGGGGAUAACUCAAGUGUUAGAGUGCGUGCUUAGCAUGCAUGAGGCCCUGGGUUCAAUCCCCAGUACCUCCU
Camelus ferus (Wild Bactrian camel) is the source of this 73-nucleotide transfer RNA. It matches the Rfam family "tRNA". From Rfam's summary of the family: Transfer RNA (tRNA) molecules are approximately 80 nucleotides in length. Their secondary structure includes four short double-helical elements and three loops (D, anti-codon, and T loops). Further hydrogen bonds mediate the characteristic L-shaped molecular structure. tRNAs have two regions of fundamental functional importance: the anti-codon, which is responsible for specific mRNA codon recognition, and the 3' end, to which the tRNAs corresponding amino acid is attached (by aminoacyl-tRNA synthetases). tRNAs cope with the degeneracy of the genetic code in two manners: having more than one tRNA (with a specific anti-codon) for a particular amino acid; and 'wobble' base-pairing, i.e. permitting non-standard base-pairing at the 3rd anti-codon position. Lineage: Eukaryota; Metazoa; Chordata; Mammalia; Artiodactyla; Camelidae. The record is from Rfam.